This 204-nucleotide ribosomal RNA is filed under the name uncultured Actinomycetales bacterium. RNAcentral's name for it is "partial 16S ribosomal RNA". It matches the Rfam family "Bacterial small subunit ribosomal RNA", at positions 127 to 334 of the family's 1533-position model. The record is from RNAcentral. Lineage: Bacteria; Bacillati; Actinomycetota; Actinomycetes; Actinomycetales.
GCCACUGCACUCUGGGAUAAGCCUGGGAAACUGGGUCUAAUACCGGAUAGGACCAUGCUUUAGUGUGUGUGGUGGAAAGUUUUUUCGGUGUAGGAUGAGCCCGCGGCCUAUCAGCUUGUUGGUGGGGUAAUGGCCUACCAAGGCGGCGACGGGUAGCCGGACUGAGAGGUUGGUCGGCCACAUUGGGACUGAGAUACGGCCCAG